This 216-nucleotide ribosomal RNA is filed under the name Glomeromycotina sp. Its description in RNAcentral is "partial small subunit ribosomal RNA". The stretch from base 40 to 216 matches the Rfam family "Eukaryotic small subunit ribosomal RNA", at positions 686 to 864 of the family's 1831-position model. The record is from RNAcentral. Lineage: Eukaryota; Fungi; Glomeromycota.
GGGUCAGUAGGUUGGUCGUGCCACCCGUACGUACUGGUCUCACUGAUUCCUCCUUCCUGAAGAACCGUAAUGCCAUUAAUUUGGUGUUGUGGGGAAACAGGACUGUUACUUUGAAAAAAUUAGAGUGUUUAAAGCAAGCUAACGCUUGAAUACAUUAGCAUGGAAUAAUGAAAUAGGACGAUCGAUCCUAUUUUGUUGGUUUCUAGGAUUGACGUA